This 273-nucleotide long non-coding RNA is filed under the name Elaeis guineensis (African oil palm). Its description in RNAcentral is "long non-coding RNA (EGUI_LNC033017)". The record is from RNAcentral. Lineage: Eukaryota; Viridiplantae; Streptophyta; Magnoliopsida; Arecales; Arecaceae.
GAGCAAUAAAAAAAAUUGGAUGAGGUCCGAUACAUAUCCAAUUUUAGGAGUAAUCUAAUUUUAUUGAACAUACUAGAUUCAAGCAGCUAUAGGUGGAGAGCUGAUGAUGAAAUCUUGAAAAUUUUGCAUGGCAGUAGGAUUGUGUUGAAGGAGAAGAAGUAUGGAGGACAUUACUUCUUGACAAAGAGCUCAACAUGAGGUCGAGCUUCAGGAGCUAAUGGGAACUCAGAGCAAGGUGGAGCUCCAAAUACAGAUGGAUUGGGCAUGAGACAG